This 202-nucleotide ribosomal RNA is filed under the name uncultured Bacillota bacterium. RNAcentral's name for it is "uncultured Firmicutes bacterium partial 16S ribosomal RNA". It matches the Rfam family "Bacterial small subunit ribosomal RNA", at positions 1157 to 1352 of the family's 1533-position model. Lineage: Bacteria; Bacillati; Bacillota. The record is from RNAcentral.
CGACGCCUGGAGGAAGGUGGGGAUGACGUCAAAUCAUCAUGCCCCUUAUGAUUAGGGCUACACACGUGCUAAAUGGCGUAACAAAGGCAGGGAAGCGACCCUGCGAAGGUGAGCAAAUCUCAAAAUAACGUCUCAGUUCGGAUUGUAGUCUGCACGAACUCGACUACAUAUGAAGCUGGAAUCGCUAGUAAUCGCAAAUCCG